This 362-nucleotide unclassified non-coding RNA is filed under the name soil metagenome. RNAcentral describes it as "partial contains 5.8S ribosomal RNA, internal transcribed spacer 2, and large subunit ribosomal RNA". The stretch from base 1 to 120 matches the Rfam family "5.8S ribosomal RNA", at positions 35 to 154 of the family's 154-position model. The record is from RNAcentral.
GAUGAAGAACGUAGCGAAAUGCGAUAAGUAAUGUGAAUUGCAGAAUUCAGUGAAUCAUCGAAUCUUUGAACGCACCUUGCGCUCCUUGGUAUUCCGAGGAGCAUGCCUGUUUGAGUGUCAUUAAUAUAUCAACCUUCUCUUUUUUGAGUUGUUUGGAUGUGGGGGUUUGCUGGCCUCUUAAAUGAUUCAGCUCCCCUGAAAUGCAUUAGCAGAACAACCUGUUCAUUAGCGUGAUAAUUAUCUAUGCUAUUGAAUGUGAGGGCAGUUCAGCUUUCUAACCGUCCUUGGACAAUUCAUCAUUAAUGUGACCUCAAAUCAGGUAGGACUACCCGCUGAACUUAAGCAUAUCAAUAAGCUGAGGA